GAGGGUAUAGCUCAAGUGGUAGAGCACAUGCUUAACACGCAUGAGGUCCUGGGUUCAAUCCCCAGAACCUCU
This 72-nucleotide transfer RNA is filed under the name Camelus bactrianus (Bactrian camel). It matches the Rfam family "tRNA". From Rfam's summary of the family: Transfer RNA (tRNA) molecules are approximately 80 nucleotides in length. Their secondary structure includes four short double-helical elements and three loops (D, anti-codon, and T loops). Further hydrogen bonds mediate the characteristic L-shaped molecular structure. tRNAs have two regions of fundamental functional importance: the anti-codon, which is responsible for specific mRNA codon recognition, and the 3' end, to which the tRNAs corresponding amino acid is attached (by aminoacyl-tRNA synthetases). tRNAs cope with the degeneracy of the genetic code in two manners: having more than one tRNA (with a specific anti-codon) for a particular amino acid; and 'wobble' base-pairing, i.e. permitting non-standard base-pairing at the 3rd anti-codon position. RNAcentral also lists the same sequence under 2 other names. The record is from Rfam by way of RNAcentral. Lineage: Eukaryota; Metazoa; Chordata; Mammalia; Artiodactyla; Camelidae.